This is a long non-coding RNA of Peromyscus eremicus (cactus mouse), 2001 nucleotides long. RefSeq lists it as uncharacterized. The transcript has 3 exons. Lineage: Eukaryota; Metazoa; Chordata; Mammalia; Rodentia; Cricetidae. The record is from RefSeq and is a predicted model, not a curated record.
CAACAUCACUGAGAACUGUAGGAUUCAUUUUAUGGAGAAGGAAGUUUGGUAGAGAGCUCCUGCCUAUGAAAUCCCCUGACUACCACAUGCCUCACCAUCAGGCCCACCCUGCAGGAUCCUACAUUCCAUCGUCCUCCGUACUCCAAAGCGGGCUACCCUGGGAGACUCUGGAUGCGGAGGGUGUCUAGCAAGAGCGUAGGGGAUGGUUUUCACCCAGUGGCUGACAGUACAGCUCCCAUCUAGGUCCUUCCUUGGGGGCUCCACUCUCAGAUAAUGAUUCUCUUCCUUCCAGCCACCCCAUGGGACGUAUAAUGGGACAUGUUGGUCCGUCCCUUCCUUCCUGGUCUGACCCUGCCCACACCCUGGUAAACAGGCCACUUGUAUGGCCUCCUCAGUUCUCCUGCAGGGUGUGUCCUCUUCAGGGCUGAUUCAGCCACUUGUACAGUGAUAGUCACAGCAUGUUACUGCCUGCAGAAAAAUGAAAGCCUAAAUAUCCAUAUAGGCAGAAGAAUAGGGUCCCAGAACCCCUGAGAUCCUGGCGUCCUGUAGCCAGACUCUCUGGAUCACAGCUCUUCCUGAAGAUACAUGCUCUCCUUUUCAACAGCUCAGCUGACCACACUGAAGGCUGUGAAGUUCGGGAUCACAGGCUACCACCUCACCGUGAUCAGACACAAAGAAACGCCCCCGUAACGUUAAUAUGAAGGAAGAGGCAAGGAGCCGCAGGAGGGAGGCAGGGCGGAUAGAGGGUACUGGGGCUUAUAAUGUUGCUUGGCAUGUCAGGUUGAGAGAUGGGGACCUCUGAACACCUCCUCUUUGUUCAGCAAUGAGAUACCGUGGGAGGAGCCGAGAGUGGAACCAGGGAGCAACUAUCAUAAAGGCCAACGUAGCUGGGACCAACCAUAUAGACCGCAAAGGCAGAAAGUCAGUCUGGGAACCCCCACCAGUCUACUGGGGUGAGGGAGCCAAGCAGGGGGCAGCCUCCGAGGAGAGUUUGUCAGUGGCCUUCACAGGGCAUCAAACAUCCCUGACAGGCAAGGGCCCAGCAGGGAACAACUGGCACCAUUAGAUGAGGAUUAUUCUAGAAAGAUCUGUUUACAAAGAACCUUACAACAGAGAGGAAGAGGUAGGGACCACAGAGACGUGCAGGAAGAAGCUGGCGGUAACACAGCUGUCAUACCCAUGGCCCAGGUUCACCUUACCCUCUCUAGCUGCUACAUCUAUGAAGGUGCCUGUGUGGGUGCCAUCAUAUCUGGGCCAGCUAUCUGGCCUGUGGUUUCAGGUAAUGCAGAGUUGGAUGGGCAUCUAGGGGAAAGAAGGAGACAAGAAGGGCAUUUGUCUUCCAGGCUUCUUCCUUGCCAUUGGCACCUGACACUGCCCUGACCAAAUGCUACUCCCCUCUCCAGGAAGCCAAGGGGAGGUGACCCUCUCCAUUCUGGAUCCCACCUUCCGCUGCUUCCUUCACCUCUUCCAUCCAGGAGAGGGUGGUCUCAGGGGUUGGGCCACCUAGUGACCUACGUUGUCCCCUGCAAAUACACUACCAUCCAUUUCUGGCCACACUGAUUUAGACUGCACACAAGCCCCGCCCCUCCUAACCCUUCUUCCAUAUCUUCUGGGAAAGCGCGCCACACAGCCCACCAAGGCUUCUGGCAUCUAACAGUGCAAGCCCAGCAACGCCAGAAGCUGCCUGCCCAGGACACUUUGGAGCUGUACGAGAGCUCCCUGAGGCCCCCAGCUCCUCAUUCGCCAGGGGAAGAGGAGACUGCCUCUCUGCCACAAUCUGUGAAGCUUCUGGGAGUUCAUAGGUUCAGUCCGUAGUCACAGUGGGCACAGUCCUCACAGAUAACCCUAGAGUCACACACGGCAGCUUGUCACAGCAACAAGAAAAGGGCAGGGACAGGGGAUGCUGACCAUCACAGCCUGUGCAAAGCCCUGACUGUGCACACUCCCCUUCCUGGCAGCCUGACCAUCUCCCACUGACCUCCAGAGGCAUCUUCAGAAAAG